This 451-nucleotide ribosomal RNA is filed under the name uncultured organism. RNAcentral's name for it is "partial 16S ribosomal RNA". It matches the Rfam family "Bacterial small subunit ribosomal RNA", at positions 335 to 799 of the family's 1533-position model. The record is from RNAcentral.
ACUCCUGCGGGAGGCAGCAGUGGGGAAUUUUACGCAAUGGGGGAAACCCUGACGUAGCGACACCGCGUGAGCGAAGAAGCCCUUUGGGGUGUAAAGCUCUGUCAGCUGGAACGAAAACAAUGACGGUACCAGCAGAGGAAGCAUCGGCUAACUACGUGCCAGCAGCCGCGGUAAGACGUAGGAUGCGAGCGUUGUCCGGAUUUAUUGGGCGUAAAGAGUUCGUAGGUGGUUUGUUAAGUUUGGUGUUAAAGAUCGGGGCUCAACCCUGGGACUGCACUGAAUACUGGCAGACUCGAGUGUGGUAGAGGCUAGUGGAAUUCCCAGUGUAGCGGUGAAAUGCGUAGAUAUUGGGAAGAACACCGGUGGCGUAGGCGACUAGCUGGGCCAUAACUGACGCUGAGGAACGAAAGCCAGGGGAGCGAAUGGGAUUAGAAACCCGUGUAGUCCCAUG